Molecule: ribosomal RNA, 253 nt
Filed under: uncultured bacterium
Lineage: Bacteria
Description: partial 16S ribosomal RNA
Rfam family: Bacterial small subunit ribosomal RNA
Source: RNAcentral
GACGUAGGGCGCGAGCGUUGUCCGGAUUUAUUGGGCGUAAAGAGCUCGUAGGCGGCUUGUCGCGUCGUCCGUGAAAACUUGGGGCUCAACCCCAAGCUUGCGGUCGAUACGGGCAGGCUAGAGUUCGGUAGGGGAGACUGGAAUUCCUGGUGUAGCGGUGAAAUGCGCAGAUAUCAGGAGGAACACCAAUAGCGAAGGCAGCUCGCUGGGACGGUACUGACGCUAAGGCGCGAAAGCGUGGGGAGCAAACAGG